This is a non-coding RNA of Equus caballus (horse), 5284 nucleotides long. The record is from RefSeq and is a predicted model, not a curated record. Lineage: Eukaryota; Metazoa; Chordata; Mammalia; Perissodactyla; Equidae.
GAGAGCAAAGAGAUUGGUCUGAUGGCCAGGCUGGAGUGUGCAGGCCAAGUCCCAUGAAUGAAAGGGGAGGCUGCUGAGAUGCCAGAGUGGCCAGCCUCUGGCUGGGCAGUGGGGACAGGGGACCAGGACACAGCACCAGGGCACCUGCUCCAGGAUUCCCAGCACCAUUCAUGAAGACAUCACCCUCUGCUGUCCUCCCCUCCCAUCCCUUCCCAAAUCCCAUUCUCCUAUGUGUUUCAAACAGUAGCAGGCCUGUUGAGGAGCCACAUCAAACAAGGGCGGAUUUCAAUCCUUUCUUGCUAACCCUCCUACAAGUGGAGCUGAAGUCUCUGUGUACCUUGCCCUCUUUCCCUAACCCUAACCCUGCCUCUGUCCUUCCAUCUAGAAUGUUGCUCUGGGAGAAGAAUAUUCUCUGUGAGGCCCAGCAAACUGCAGCCUUAAACCUCCUGAAACAGGUCCUUGGAACAAUUUGCAAGAAUCCUGCAUGUGCAAGGUAAGAAGGCUACAGAGGACAGGGAGCGAGCGUGGACCACUGGGCUUCAGGCAUGGACGGGGUGGGCAGGGGUCAGCUCAGGCUCCUGGCUUCUGCUGCUGCUCUGUGUCUGGCACUGAAGGUCUGAGAAAGGGCCUUCCUCCCUUAUUUUUUUAAGAGACUCCAAAAAUGGAGACACUACAUAUUUGGUCAUGAAAUCUCCAGCUAAGCCUCUCAGUGCCUCAGUUUCCUCAUCUGUGAAGUGAAAUAAUAUCCAUGGCCCUGCAUACUCGGCUUCACAAGAAUCAAACAGGAUACUGACUGUGAAUCAGAAAGUGUUGUACAAGUACACGGGGAUGUUGUCUUAAACUCUAGAAGUUCCUUCCAGAGUCAAACCUACUUCUCAAUGUGGUAACUACAGUUCUGCGGUUCGUUCUCUUGUUCAGUUUUCAAGGGCAAACAGCUGGGCUCGGGAAAUACCCCGUUGCUUAUGGAGUGCCUGCGUCAUCUCUCCAUCACUUCGAGGUCCCUCCUUUUCUCCCAUGGCUCCGUUGGAAAAUGCUACAGACCAAAGAGAUUCUGUCUAGUUACUUUCUCAUAUGGAAUCAAAAAGCACACCCAUGCUGGAGUUGGCCCUCAUGGCUAGGCAGUCCACGUAGGCACCCACACCCUCCCAAGCAGGCAGAGAAGAGGGGGAGUAGCUGAGGUGCCUCAGACGCCCCGCCCCCAACUCUACAGCAAUUAGAAUGGCACUGGCCCUCAUUGCCUGAGAGGUACUAUGAAGAUGCACUUUGUCGGGGGUCCUUCUCUGCUCAGCAGCCCUCACCUGCCAGGAAGCCCUGUACCAACCUGCUUGGCUUUGAUGGCCCAGCCUGGUUGGGAUGACAUUUGCUCUCAGAGCAUCAGUUGGAGCUGGGCUUUCUGAGGAUUCCGUGUCUCCCAGGCAGGCACACCCAGGGCCUUCUGGGGUGGGAGUGAGUAAGACUGGACAGAGCCAGUACAAUUUAUCCCUUAAAUCAGAAACUCUCAGAACCAAUUGGAAGUGAUCAUUUUGUCCAGGUUUCUUCAUUAGACAAAAUGAUAACUUCCCUUCAGUUGCUUAUAAUUAUCAUUAUCUAAUGGUAAGUGAUAAAAUGUAUUGGGUGUCCAUCCUGUUUUAGUUGCAGUGCUUGGCUGUUUACCUAUAUGACGCCUCAUCCCCAUGUGUCUAAUCUUACCAGGUAAAGUGUUAUCACCCCAUUUCACAGAUGCAGAAACUGAUGAUCAUCAGAAAGUCAAGUGAUUGAUCCCAAGGUUAUGCAGGUAAUAGGUGGUGUGGCUAAAAUUUUCACUCAGGUUUAUCUGACAUCCAUUUUCUCUUGUUUUGUCAUUUUCUGAUGAGGAGAAAGUGAUGAAUGUGUGAGAGUCCAUACUUCAAAUGCCAGGAAAUGGGAGGCCUUGCAUUUCAUCCCUCUUCUUAGCCACCAGCCAGCGACCCAGAGCCCCUGCAGCAGGAGGGCUCCCACGGACUCAGCGCAAGUCCAGCAAAGCAUCUCUGGGCUUCAGUUCUACUGAGGGGUGUGCAUGUUUAACAAUGAGAGUUGGCCCAGAGGAAAGAAGUUGCCAAUACAUGCAAAUGUCCACUAGCUUAUGUCACCUCUGCCCCCCACAACGCCACAUAUGUGGCCACGCCUGCCUAUCAAAAUAAUGGGAUAAUUGGGUACAGCGUGUGCCGCCCCCACCCCUUACUGAAAGCAUGCCAGUCGGUCUCUGUGGGAACCCACAGGGAGCAGGGUGAGCAACACACCACUGUCUGCCUUCUCCGUGAUUGCAUCUGUGCCCUGCAAACCCCAACAGAAUUGAACUUACAUCUCCUCUUAAUUAGGGGAGAGAGGAAGACAAGAAUGAUAGCAGAAGAAUUUCUUCCUGCCUCUGACGGCAAGCUCUUCAGGGACAGAACAUUAAGCUCUCCCUCUGUCUGCCCCCGGCCUCCGACUUCUCUUUCCUGACUGAUAUCUGGCGUACCUAACACAGUGCCAGGCCCUCCCUGGGACCGGUGCCUGUGUGUGAUGAGAGUGAUGAACAGGGGCUGGUUGGAAAAGCUAGACCCGGCCCUGGUGGCCUGUCUCCGGUCUGCUGUGAGGCAGUGCAGAGCAGCGGCUGGGGCAGUCUGUGAGGCCUCAAGCCAGACAAGUGGGGGCUGGUCCAGGGCCCUGCAGGGGGGUCGGGGGAGGGGAGGAGGGUGGAGCCUUGCCCUGAGAGGAGGCUGGCAGAGGAUAAAGUCCAUGGCCCCAUGCGAAAAUAAAUAAACACAUCGCUUCAGUAAGUCAAAUACCCUGACAUCCAGGUGCAAACCCCAGUGCCUGCUUCAGUGUUGCAAAUUUAGAGCAAGGUAUGAACUACUAAAGUCUAAGAAGAAAAAUCCAGAAAUGGCACAAGCUCUUGGCAGGCAGGAAUCGGCCGCAUCAUCACCCACAUCAUGAAACAAUUAAUAGCUAAUGGAAAAAAAACACUUUAACAUUGUUUUCUGUAUUCUGAGUUUUGAAUUCCUAGAAAGAUGGUCUAGAUUUCCCCUCGUCAUCAGUUUAAUAUUUAGUUCAUAAUUGUUCCUUUUGCAAAAUACUCACUUGUUGGAUGCUCUGGGUUGUGAUGAGGUGGGAAGGAAAGAUCAACAAGAGUAAUUGUCCCUUUUUAUCCUCCUCUUUCUCUCUCUUUCUCACAGCACCAUUUUUCUGGAAUGGCUUCUAUUGACUCAGAACCAACAUUCGAAUGAAAAGACUACUAUUUCCAUCAGAAAACAGAGGUUCGAGAGCCAGCCCUGGUUGCCUAGUGGUUAGAGUUGAGCACUUACCGCCUGGGCAGCUGGGGUCCCAUUCCUGGGAUCCACACCACUUGCCUGUCAGUUGCCAGGCUGUGGUGGUGGCUCACAUGGAGGAACUAGAACAACUUACGACUAGGAUAUACAACCAUGCACUGGGGCUUUGGGGAGGAACAAAAAAGGAAAAAACAGAGGAAGAUUGGCAACAGAUAUUAGCUCAGGGCAAAUCUUUAAAAAAAAAAGCAGGUAGGAAAACUCCCACUCGGGUGUCAGGAGGCUUGUGUUCUAAUCCUGCCUCUGCUCUUCCCUGGCCUGGCACACAUCCCUUCCCCUCUUUGAUUCUGGUUCCCUAUCUGUAAAAAGCAAGAAUUAGGCUCUAUGCUCCCCUCUCUCCUAGCCUUGCCGUGCCGUCAUCACUCUAACUCUCUCCUUGGAGAACGGAGGAAGGACAUUGGCUACAAAAAAGCCUUCUCGUCAUGGCUAAGAAAGCUCAGUGCCUAAAAAAUCGACAAGGGAGUGCAAUACAGGGCAGAGCCGAGAAAUGGAAUUUUGCCUUUGAAUUGUCUCGAGUUGGAUGAUUUCUCUCUCUGCCUGCCUUUGAUACACUCUUGUUCACGGCUCUGCUGUGAUGAAACUUUCUGCGUCAUGGGUGGUUCCAGCCCCUUCGAUCCAUUCAGCUGAUGAUAUUUCCUGAUGUUUCAAAGGCCAAGAGUAUGGGAUGAUGGAGUAUGGUAGAUUUACCUUCUCUCUUCUUUCCCCACCCACCUGGCUCUUCAGCCUCCUCUCCUGUGGAAUCCCUAUUUUGCGUUGUUCCGCAAGGUCCUGGGAUGACAGCAAAUCCCAACUCUGGCUACUGCCCAGGAUAUGGGAGCCCCAGCUCCUGGCUUCCUGGAGAAGCUGGAGAACGGAAAGCCUUCUGUGGUCUCUUGGGGACAUCACCCCCCCUGGUGGAACGAAGAGGAACUUUCCUGGCUUCGGAAAAGCUGGGCAGCCUGGCAGCGGUUACCUCUCCUCUGCAGUUUUUGGAGUGGCUAAUAAUUAUUACCCUGUGUUAAUCAUGACAAUGGAAGAAUUGCAGCCCAUUAUUUUGAAAUGAUCGGCUCCAGUCAAUGACUACUUAUGACAGCAAAGGGGAAACAUCAGCUCCAGGGAGCCCCCAUGUAAAUGGGGAGUUGAACGAAAGAUCAGGAAUAAUGGAACGUGUAUUUAGUUCCAUUUUCGUCCCUAAAAGGGCCCUGUCAGAGUAAUUUCUCCUUCCGUGCACUAUACCUUGCCAUUAUUUACAAUAUCUUCUUGGGAGAAUAAAACCCUGGAGCCCUCCUCCUCAUCUCCCCCUCCCCGCCUGGUCUCCCCCUCCCCGCCCCCUAUCAAUUGUGUCUCUUUCUGGAGUUUGGCAAACACAGCUACUUCCUCCCGCUGUGCUUUCACUGGAGCUGAAAUGAAUGUGGCUCUAGUUAUUUCUUUCCCUUAAUCAUUCUUUUUCUUUUUUGUUGGAGAGCAUUUUCACGAAGCACAAUCACAGAGGAACAGAAUGUCCUGAUAUUUGGGUGAGCAGCAUGCAUUUCUUUUCUUUUUUCCUCCCUUGAAUAAAAAUAACACCCCAUAACCAUAAUAUCAGAGGCCUCAAAGGCCAUCUUCCAAGGUUUCUCAUCAUCUUGCCCCAUCCUCGGGGUUCAAUCUUACUUCUAACAACCCCUACCCACCCACCACCCAAGCCACACUAGUUCCCUCUCAGUCCCUUGAAAUCGCCAAGCUCAUUUGAUCCCCUGAACUUCUGCUCAUGUUAUUCCUGCCGUCUGGAAUGUAUCAUCUCCUUCCUCACUUCCCACAGGCAUCCAACGCCUGAACCAUCUUUAGGACCUUCUCAAGACUCAUCUCUUUUACAAUGUCUUUUCCAACUUUUGUGAAGGGCAGUUUAUGCUCAGACAGUGUUUAAGAAUUUGUAAACUUCUUCCUACCCAUUGUAAGCUUGGCAUAGAGAAGUCACUUAAUAAAUGUUUACUGAAUAACUUUCA